UUGAACUAAAAAUAGUUUUUCCGUGCAGGUUCUAACCGCCUGGAAGUUAAUAAUCAAAAACUAAUUUUCAAAACAAUCAAUUCGAAAAAAGAAACAGUAUAAUAAAAGAAGCCGAAAUACUUACACGAGAGCUGCUCGUAUAAGCUGUAGCAUUGCAUCCGACGACGAUAAUUAUGUUAUCAUCCGAUAUCCAGAAAGGUGUAUCCGUGAAAUCCAGGUAGCCAAAUUGGUAAAUCAUAGUACCAGUGGCUGUGUCAUUGCACUGCGACGAGAUCGUCAUGGCGUUCAUCCAGGCCUUGCCGUCAGGCAAGGAGAUCUUGGUCACCUCGAUCGGCUCGUUAUACCACGUUGUAUUUACAAAAGGCUUGCUGACGCCGCCAACCACAGACGUGCAGUUGAUGGUAAAGCCGCUGUGCAACGCGCACUUCUCGUCGAUGCCAAACGGGAAUGGAAUGUCGACGUUGCCACACUUAGCCGGGCAGUCGGGACGCUGGCCUGCCGGUACAUCGGCCGUGGCCAACACCCAAAUCGCCGAAAGGCAGAGAAGAGCAUGCCAGGAAAGAAGAAACCGAGAACACCCCAGCUUCACCAUUGCAGGUUAACCGGUAGGUGUGGAUGUGUCCUCCUGUCCUGAGUUCCUAGCUAUUCCAGGGCUAUAAAUAGUUCUCGCGAAUGGACAACGGGAGCCUGAAGGUUGACUACUACUUGACUUGUGGUUAUACAUACUAUAUAGUUAUUUUUCAAGAAAUGGAAACGUUUUUUUUUUCAGGAAAUGGAAUGCCGCUGUGCAACUGGACUUGUGGUUAGACAAAAAAGCAUAAUAGUUAUUUUUCAAGAAAUGGAAAGCUUUUUUUUUUUUGUGAAAUCAAGAAAUGGAAACCUCCUUCAUAAUAUUAUUCACCAUUUUCAAGAAAUGGAACUCUACCAGUCCUGCUAGAGUUGCUCUUAGGGUAUCCAGUUUUGUUCCAGUGGUUUGAUGGCUUUUAACAGCCGAAUUGACGCAUGUGGCAAAAUUAGAAAAAAAAAAGCAACAGAGCCAAUGAGGUUACCGGUUUCAGGUUUUCACUGGCCAGAUCAUCGGCUCAAUUUGUUCACUCGCAACGAAAUAACUGAAUAUUUAAGCUAAUCCUUUUUUAAUAAACUAACCUCAUAUCAAUUGAAUUCACAUAAUUUUGGAUUUAAUUGGUAUUGGGCCUUUAAUGUCCUGUGGCUCAAGGUCUGGGUUUAAUUCCUAGCUUACACACCUUUUUUAGAGUUUUUUUUACCGAUUUUUGCUAAAUGAUAUUUGCAUCUGAAAGAAAAAACAAGGCGGGAAUACUAUUGAAAAGAUACCUCUUCGGUCAGUAACCAAUAGCGGAAUUUGGAUGCCCAUAUUGAUUACUACAUAUUUCACGAAGAUUUUCAUCGGUUGAACCACGAUAUCGAGGAUUCAGUUAAUUCUGUAUGCAAUUUCCUUUGUCCGGUGAUAUGUUACUUGCCCGAGAUUCGAUCGUCGAUAUCUCCAUACCUAGUUCAAUCUCAUCACUGGAAAGUCUUUUUACUCGUUCCGUAAUACAAGAUCUCAUGACUAAAUUCAUUAGUCAUAUGAAACUUCUUGUGAAGUUGUAUUACUGAGACGGCCCAGAGAUAUCUCUCCGCCACAUGGAGCGAUAAAUCUCAGUCUCGAUCCAUGCAACCCAACAGACACCUUCAGAGAUACCUGUAGAGCACAUUUACGAUCACUCAGUUACGAAGUGAUGUUUGAUAGCACACGAUGUAUUCCUCCAGUGUCCGGGAGUGACAUGAUCUCAUGGUCUAAGGAAUAGAUACUUGACAUUAAGAAAGCUAUAGCAAAUAACUAAGCGAUACGAUCUGUUGCUAAGCUUAAGGUUGGAUCUGCCCAUCACAUCAUUCUCCUAAUGAUGUGAUCCUAUUAUCAAAUGACAACUCGUGUCUAUGGUUAGAAAACCUUAACAAUCUUUGAUCAACGAGCUAGCCUAGUAGAGGCUCACUAGGGACAUGGUGUUGUCUAUGUAUUCACACAUGUAUUUAAGUUCCCAGUCAAUACAAUUCUAGCAUAAAUAAUAAACAUUUAUCAUGCACAAAAAAUAUGAUAAUAAUCAAUUUAUUAUUGUCUCUAGGGCAUAUUCUGAACAACCAUAUGGGCCUGAUAGCCAUAAUAACCGUUAUUAUAACAAUCUUAGCCAAAACUACUAUAGCUUCAUCUAUGGAUCACCAUAAUUUAUGAGUGUCCUUCAUAUCUGGCCUCUCAGUCGCCAUGUAUGAUAUCUCGGUGUUACCUUUAGGGUGCACUUCAUUCUUAUUGGAAAAGGAGGAUUAUCCUCGGCCAUGCAACCAUAUUAUGAAGCAAAUGAUCAACGGGUCCAAAAUUCGGUACACGCUUACAAGAGUGCACUUCAUAUGGCAGAUGCACGUAAAUUGCAUGUGGCGUGAAAAAAACUUGAGGUGAUGCGGUAACCCCCCCCCCCCCAAACACACACACACACGCCUCACAUGGGAUGGCAGUGAGGUUGAGAAAAAAAGAUGUCACAUGGAUGAGUGACCCUUAAUUACGACAGCAGCAAACAUGAAGAUUAUGUGUUUGCAUGCUGUUUUGUUUGGGCAUAUCCAAUGCUGACCCUCAAACCAGUCGCAUACGUCCGGAACGCGUGGUCCGGAAGUGUUUUGUUAUCCAAUGUGAUCCUGUAUCGGUCUGCUCGAUGGUCUGGACAUACUUUUUCCCACGAGCCGGAGACAAAAGCGGGGUGGUGGGGCUUUGCGGACGACCAGACUGCUGCCACGCCCGCUCCUGACGGCCCCGGAUCACCGAACAACCGCACCUACCUCUCCCGCACUUUCCUUCUGAUGCACGCGUCGCUUUCUGCACCACAUUAUCCGCCGCCCAGAACAAGCAGCGGCAGGUGUUGAUGCCGCGUGAUGUGACCGGACGGAGGGCGACGCUGACCUCUCGGGAGUCGCCGCUUCAAUGUAGACACAGCUUCCCGGGGAACCAAUCCCAGCCGCUGCGCCACAUUGAAGCGCAUGGUCGCCUACCCGAGGAUUGAUAAGUUCUGCUCCGGCGCCGUCCACAUCGCACUCACCGCAUGGCUCUGCACGUCUUCCUCCUCCCAUCCCUCUUCCUCCACAACUUCGGCGAUGGGCAAGUCGUGGGCCUCGGCGUCGGGAGGCGGCGGCUCUCGAAAUGGAUCGGAGGAUCGUGGCGACACCAUCCUCGAACUCUGGGUUGUCGUCCUCAUCUGCGGGCGGCUCCACGACAAAGGCAGAGAUCGUCAUCUCCUCCGGUGAUGAGUAGUACCAGCCGCUGCAGUAGCAUCGGUGCGAGCGACGCAAGGCGCGGUUUAUGCUGCCAUAAAUGAGGAGUACUGAUGACCCACAAGUAUAGGGUAUCUAUCGUAGUCCUUUCGAUAAGUAAGUGUGUCGAACCCAACGAGGAGCAGAAGGAAAUGACAAGCGGUUUUUAGUAAGGUAUUCUCUGCAAACACUGAAAUUACCGGUAACAGAUAGUUUUGUGAUAAGGUAAUUUGUAACGGGUAACAACUAAUGAAAGUAAAUAAGAUGCAGCAAGAUGGCCCAAUCCUUUUUGUAGCAAAGGACAAGCCUGGACAAACCCUUAUAUGAAGGAAAACGCUCCCGAGGACACAUGGGAAUUAUUGUCAAGCUAGUUUUCAUCACGCUCAUAUGAUUCGCGUUCGUUACUUUGAUAAUUUGGUAUGUGGGUAGACCAGUGCUUGGGUACUGCUGAGGGAGUCCCGAAUUAGGAGGUGUCCGGAUAGCCGAACUAUCAUCAUCGGCCAGACUCCAAGACUAUGAAGAUACAAGAUUGAAGACUUCGUCCCGUGUCCGGAUGGGGCUUUCCUUGGCGUGGAAGGCAAGCUUGGCGAUACGGAUAUGUAGAUCUCCUACCAUUGUAACCGACUCUGUGUAACCCUAGCCCUCUCCAGUGUCUAUAUAAACCGGAGGGUUUUAGUCCGUAGGACACAACAACAAUCAUACCAUAGGCUAGCUUCUGGGGUUUAGCCUCCUUGAUCUCGUGGUAGAUCUACUCUUGUAAUACUCACAUCAUCAAUAUCAAUCAAGCAGGACGUAGGGUUUUACCUCCAUCAAGAGGGCCCGAACCUGGGUAAAACAUCGUGUCCCUUGUCUCCUGUUACCAUCCGCCUAGACGCACAGUUCGGGACCCCCUACCCGAGAUCCGCCGGUUUUGACACCGACAUUGGUGCUUUCAUUGAGAGUUCCUCUGUGCCGUCGCAAUCAGGAAGGAUGCCUCUUCCCGUCUUUAAAGACGGUACCAUUGCCAAAGGAGCUUUGGCCGCCGGUCAAGCUAUCCGGCUAGGUGGUUUUCUUAUGACCGCCUGUUCGGCCACCGCUUCGACGAUGACCUCUCGGGUCAUCAAAAGCGAUCUUCGCGUCAACUCGGAAUUCACCGAGCAGCUGGAUCCGAUGGAGCUCUCUUCCGUAAACGAGCUCUUGGAUCGCAUCGCCGCCCUGGGAGUCGCUACAGACCACGAUCAGAUUGGGCUUAAAACCGAUCUGAGAGAAAUUAACUCUCCCCGGGCUACCCACCACGUUGUUGUGGUAGAAGAACAACGCGGCGACUCUUCUUCUAUGUUAAAAACCAGUUAUGUCCGGAUUCCCGAUCCCUCCAUGCCGGAUUCCCGCGGAGGGACGGACGUCAAUCGAGUACUGAACCUAAAGUCAGGCAGCGGACUAGAUUCGUUGGACGACGUCCAGCAAUCCAAGCUUCCAAAUCCGGAAACUCCUCGGCCUUUGAGCCUCAGAUUGGGCGGGGUUUCGAAUUUAAUUCCACCUACCCACCCAAACACAAGCGAUCUAUCUCAAAUACGGCAAGAGCUCGAUGAAACAGUACAUCAUUACUGGGCCAGAUUCCUCCUGGUUAUGGAAAGGAUAAAGGACUGUCGUGAGGAAAGCACAAUCUCUAUUUUCUGCAACAAUUGCACGGACAAGGGAAUCAUGAACGCCAUAAGUCGUCGCGAAGUUACGUGCUUCGCCGACCUGGCGACCAUAGUACGAAAAUACUGUGCGAUGGAGAGUGCCUGGAAAACCGAAACCAGAUUUUGGGACAAUCCGGCCGUGAACACAACCCUAGUCCGGAAUAAAAGGGUGCACCAUGCUCAAGCACCUGGGUCAAAAACCAAAAAGCAAAAAACCCCUAAAGGGUACGGAACCGUACUGGAGGAAUGGCUCAGCGGACCCUGCAAAAUCCAUAAUACAGAGGGCGCCACUCCAACACAUAGCCUUCGAGCAUGUUGGAUACUACGGCAGGUGGCCAAAAGUGGCGAAGGUCUUCUAGCCCCGGAGAACCGGCCCAAUAGUACCAGUACGGUAUUAACAGUCUUCGUGAGUUCCGCAUCAAAUAAUAUGUGGAAACGAACAAUCCGCAGCCUCGCCGAAGUCUACCAAGUAGCAACAACAAAUCCAUGGAGCGACACGGCUAUCACCUUCAAUGCCAGCGACGAACCUAAAUUCCGAACAGCCCGAGCACUAGCCGCAUUGGUCCUCAGUCCAAUAGUGGACGGCUUUCGUCUUACCAAGGUACUCAUGGAUGGCGGCAGCGGAUUAAACCUCAUCUACGAGGAAACCCUCCAAAAAAUGGAAAUAGACUGAAGCCGCAUUGAGCGAAGCAGCACAACCUUUAGAGGAAUAAUCCCUAGUCGGGAAGUACGCUGCACAGGAAAAAUCACACUAGAUGUGGUGUUCGGCUCACCGGACAACUACAGGUCCGAGGAAGUCACGUUCCAAGUGGCCCCGUUCAGUAGCGGAUAUCACGCUCUAUUAGGGCGAGAGGCAUUCCAAUUUUCCAAGAUGUACCCCAUUACGGGUACAUGAAGCUUAAAAUGCUCGGGCCCAAUGGAAUCAUCACUCUGGUCAGUGAUCCGGACAUAGCACUUCGCGCUGAAAAUAAGACAGCCGCACUAGCCCUAGAGGCACUAUCCGAAGCCCUAUCGGCAGAGGAACUCACUGCACUGCGCUCCACUGUGAAUAGGGAUGAUGUGAUACUCGAUAAGAGAUCUAAGUCCACCUCUUUUAAACCAGCAGACGAAAUAGUCAAAUUCCAGGUCCAUCCAACGGACCCCACAAAGACGGCCUCCAUUGGGGCACAAUUAAACCCUGAUGUAGAAGCCGCACUACGAGAAUUCCUUCGGGAAAAUUGGGACAUUUUUGCCUGGCACCCUUCAGAUAUGCCAGGAAUCCCACGCAGGCUGGCGGAGCACAGCCUAAAUAUCCUAAAAGGAUUCAAGCCAGUCAAACAGGCUCUUCGACGAUUUUCCGAACCCAAAAGACACGCAAUGGGAGAGGAGCUAGCCAAACUAUUAGAAGCCGGAUUCAUCAGAGAUAUGAAACAUCUGGACUGACUAGCGAACCUGGUAAUGGUACCAAAAAAGGACAAAUCCUGGCGCCUUUGCGUCGAUUUUAAAGACCUUAAUAAGGCCUGUCCAAAGGAUCCUUUCCCCCUUCCCCGCAUCGACCAAAUCAUCGAUGCUACCGCGGGGCACGAUUCAUUGUGUUUCCUCGACGCAUACUCCGGAUACCAUCAAAUCAAGAUGGCGGAAACAGACCAGGCCGCAACGGCAUUCAUUACUCCAUACGGACCAUUCUGCUUCAACACAAUGCCCUUCGAACUCAAAAACGCCGGCGCAACAUAUCAGCGCAUGAUUCAGACAUGUCUGGCUAUCCAGAGCGGCAAAACAGUGGAGGCAUACGUAAACGAUGUGGUCGUUAAGACCAAACACGUUAAAACUCUAGUAGACGAUUUGAGGCUCACAUUCGACAACCUCCGAGCAUAUGACAUUAAGCUCAACCCGGAAAAAUGCGUUUUCGGCGUACCAGCCGGAAAGCUCUUGGGCUUCAUUGUAUCCGGUAGAGGAAUUGAAGCAAAUCCAGCCAAGAUCCGAGCUCUGUCACAAUUGGAUAUCCCAAAAGACCUCAAACAAAUACAAAAACUGACUGGAUGCGUGGCGGCUCUAAGCCGCUUCAUCUCCCGUUUGGGAGAAAAGGCAUUGCCUCUCUACCGCCUCCUCCGGCGCACCGAACACUUCGAGUGGACGGAUGCUGCCACGGCCGGACUCGAAGAAAUAAAGGCCAUAUUAGCAACAAAUCUGGUCCUGGCCGCGCCCAACCUAGGCGAACCAAUGUUAUUAUAUAUCGCGGCAACACAUCAAGUUGUAAGCGCAGUGCUCGUCGUCGAACGAGAAACAGAAGGACACAAAUUCCCUCUUCAAAAACCAGUGUACUAUGUAUCCACUGUCUUAACUCCAUGCAAGUCCCGGUAUCCACAUUAUCAAAAGAUAGCUUACGCGGUGUUCAUGGCAUCCCGGAAGCUGCGACACUACUUUCAAGAGUGCUCGAUAACAGUGGCCUCCGAAGUACCUCUCAACGACAUUAUAAACAACCGCGACGCGACGGGCAGGAUUGCAAAAUGGGCCAUUGAGCUCUUACCAUUUGACAUAACCUACAAACCACGGUGAGCUAUAAAGUCACAAGUUUUGGCUGACUUCAUCGCCGAAUGGACCAAAGCCGAACUCCCUAAAGAGUACGACGCAUACUCCAAUUGGAUCAUGCAUUUCGACGGCUCCAAAAUGUUGGCCGGCUUGGGGGCUGGCAUCGUAUUGACAUCCCCAACCGGAGAACAGUCCAAUACGUACUUCAGAUAAUGUACACGGACUCCAACAAUGCAGCCGAAUAUGAGGCCCUUCUACAUGGUCUCCGGAUGGCAAUCUCCAUGGGUAUUCAACGUCUAGAGGUGCGCGGGGAUUCAAACCUCGCAAUAUCCCAAGUAAAUGGAGACUUUGACGCCAAGGAUCCGAAAAUGGCAGCCUAUCGUAACGCCGUCUUAAAAAUGUCAGCUCGGUUUGAAGGACUCGAAUUCCACCAUGUAGCCCGGGAUAAUAACCAGGCAGCCGACGUGUUGGCGCGCAUCGGCGCAAAACGCGACGCCGUCCCUCCAAACAUCUUCCUGGAGCGGCUCAUUAAGCCAUCCGUAUUAUGGGAAGAGGAGUCCGGAAAUAACAACCUGGAACCAACCGCGCCACCCAACACAGAACAUUCUGACAUAGUCGGUGGCUCAGCCAAUGAAAUAAUACCCUCAGCCCACGAAAUAAUGGCAGUAAUUGCCCCGUGGAUGGAACCAUUCCUAGCCUAUUUAACUAGGCAGGAACUUCCCGAAGACCAAAAUCAGGCCUGCCGCAUAGUUCGGCAAUCUAAAGCUUACAAGGUCCAUGAGGGAGAACUUUAUAAGAAAAGCACAACCGGAGUCCUUCAAAGGUGCAUCUCCGAAGAGGAAGGGCGAAAUCUCCUGGCUAAAAUUCACGCCGGACUUGGCGGGCACCACGCCGCAGCCCGGGCCCUUGUAGGCAAGGCCUUCCGUACAGGAUUUUAUUGGCCGACUGCCCGGGCAGAUGCUCAGGACUUAGUCCAACGAUGUGUCGGUUGCCAGCUCUUUGCUAAUCAAAGCCACAUGCCACCCACCACCCUCAAAACUAUACCCAUCACCUGGCCGUUCGCGGUCUGGGGGCUUGACAUGGUUGGACCCCUUAAAGGGGGAACCCGCAAGCAAAAGGACCUAUUGGUCAUGGUGGACAAAUUCACCAAAUGGAUAGAGGCCAAGCCAGUUAAAACGGCAGAAUCCGGACCCGUGAUAGACUUCAUAUCCGGGGUAGUACACCGUUAUGGCGUCCCCCACAGCAUCAUCACUGAUAACGGCACGAAUUUUAUGGCCGACGAGGUUAAAGUUUGGUGCAAAAAUAUGGGCAUCAGGCUCGACUACGCUUCAGUCUAUCACCCCCAAACUAACGGUCAAGUCGAACGAGCAAAUGGUCUAAUCAUGAGCGGCAUCAAAUCCAGAUUAGUGCGGUCCCUCACGGAAUCUAACACGCACUGGGUAGAGGAGCUUGACUCCGUACUCUGGGGGCUGCGAACCACGCUGAACCACACUACCGGAUUCACACCAUUUUUUAUGGUGUAUGGCGCAGGGGCAGUUUUGCCCUGCGAUAUAAUUCGUGACUCACCUCGCGUGCGCAUGUACGAAGAAAGAGAAGCCGAGUUGGAUCGGCAGGACAGUUUGGACGCCUUAGAGGAGGAGCGGGACGUGGCAAAAGCUCGUUCCGCAUUCUAUCAGCAGCAGGCUCGAAGAUAUCAAAGAAGAAAAGUACGGGCCAAAACUUACAAUGUUGGCGAGCUAGUUCUACGCCUGCCGGACAAGAAAAAGGACAAACUUAAGCCCAAAUGGGAAGGUCCCUUCAUCAUCGACCAAGUCCUGACCGGCGGAGCAUACCGUCUACGUAACGCAACUGACAACCGACUCGAGCCGAACCCAUGGAACGCAGCCCGUCUCCGAAGAUUCUACGCCUAGCGCCGGACUCAGAGUUCGUCUCCUUCCUCUGUCCACCUUUUAUAUUUUCGUUGUCUUUUGUUCCCCUCCUUCUUCCCCCUUUUUAGUAAAAGCCUUUGAGGGCUGAUCUGCGCAUUGUUCGCACACACUUGAUGUGCUACUCGCACUCAUUAUACCUGGGGGCUUCUUUAACAGAAGCUUAUUUAUACGGGCUUCAUGCCCAACACAUGUGUCAUACUUCCGCAUGUACCUUUUAUUCACCAUUAUAUGCAUCGAUAUGACUUAAGUUUUGGCCAAGCUGGGUUGCCUGGCUCCUGUGCUUACCCCUACGUUCCCGAUUGUUCGGCUAUGAGGUAAAGGGAGCACCUCUGCGAUUGUUACUGUCGGGUCAGCCGGAUGUGUACCUUGGACUGGGUGAAGCCGAAAGCUAGUGUUCUUAAGGGAAUAUUUGGUCGGUGACUUGAAAGAUGAUUUAUUACUUAUUUAUUUAUCUGCCCCCAGAUGCUUUAGAGCAUGCCUCCCAGGGAAAGGAACCCCUAACGGAACUAUUCUCCCUGGAAGAUGUUUCUUACUAACCAUGUAAUAUAACAUAACUAGGUGGGCACUUGUCUGAUAAAGCACUAAUGACCCCUACGCCUGGUCUCCAUGCAUGCCCCGGUUUUUAUAUAACCGUUAGGGUAUUCGGACACACUCCGGACUGUUGGGUCCUGAGGUUGAAGCGAAAAGGUCCGCAAAGACAAACGAUCUACAAUCCGGCUAGAAGGCUUUUUACAUGUCAUUUUAAAAUUACAUCGUCAAAUUGACUGAUUGAACUCCUCUUCAAUCCCAUCUAACAGGUUGUCUAGUUUACAGUCCCGUUGGGAAUAUUUCGCGACCAACUCUACUUGGCCGUACAUUAAGCUCACAGGGAUCUCCUUCCCAUCAGGCCCCACAGGUCCGACCUCGGCCAUGUGGUUUGGAUCAGCCUUCGUGUACCGCGUCUUCACCAUGGCCCAGGCCUCUCUGACGCCUUGACGGCAGGCCGAUAUCUUCCACAGACGGAAGCGCUGCCGUACUCCCUGAAGCUUCUCAGCAAGCCCCCCAAGACCCUCGGGUAGGGAGACGGACGACCAUAAGGCCUGAAUGACGCCGCUCAUCGCCUGCCGAAUACGUUCGUGCAGUUGCAACAGCUCGGGAAGAAGGUCACCCGUGGAACCAGGCAUUUCCUCCACCGAACGACCCGUGAGCACACCUACAGACACAUUUCUGUCAAUCGACUUCCUCGCCGAACUCUUCUUUUCAAAAGAGUUUGCUCAAGCACUUACUGUAAAUGCCGCGAUGAAGCCGCCGAUUCUCCUUUACGGAGUCAGACAGCUGGACCCAAACAUCUUUUAGUUCUUUGCCCAGCUGGGUGUUGGCAUCUUGGAGUUUGUUCCUCUCCUGUUGCACCCUCAUAAGCACCUUCUCGCCGGCCUUCAGCUGGCGCAGCAGAUGUUGCUUGUCCGGUUCCAGUCCGGCACCCUCUACAAUAUUAUUGCCAGACUUACGCACACGCCGUACUUCAUAAACUACUUAUCUUUUUGAAGUAUGUAUUACCAGAGGGGGUCUCUGUGGCUCCCCCCUGCGGCAGCUAGCGCGGCCUCAAGUUGGGCCUUGCACUCUUGAAGCUCCUGGGACAGACAGGUAUUCUUCUCCGUAAGAUCCUGCAUAACAAAUGAUCCUUAAAUAAGUUAUUUUAACUACUUUAAGUCUCGGGGGCUAUUGGCAUAUAUAACUAUUAAAAUUCCUCACCCGUAUGUCUUUCACAUACUGCUCCGUGGCUCUGGUUAGACCAUCUCGAGCGGCACGGAGGUGCGCGUCUCCCGCAUUAAAGGCAUUCAGUGCCUCGGGAGAGAAACACGCGUCACAAAGAACCGUCCGGCGGCGCCUGUGAUUCAUGGCGCUCUCCACCUCAGACCUGGUGGCGGACAUCCUGUCGGCAUCCUCCAUUGGAGGAGCAUCCGGCUCAUGCCUUGUGUUCGCCUCCCCUUCCGGAUAAGGCGUUGGAGCAUGGCUGGCGGAGGCUUGAUUGGCAACCUCUCCGGACACUGUCCGGUGAGCGCUCUUUCUCCUGGAAAAAUCAUGAGCGUUAAUAUACCUCCUAGGAAUCUUUCCCUUAAAAACGGCGGUGCGCCGUACCAUUGCAACGACGUUUCGAUUCGCGCCGCACUCCUCUUCCGCCUGCUGGGCCGAACUGACCCUUGUUGGUCAGCCCCCGCGGGUUCGGCUUCCCGCCUUAAAGGCGCCUCCUGCGGAGCACCAUUGGUAUACAGUGGUCAGAAAUGAGCAUGUACCAAGUAAUGGUGUCAGGACUCCGGUCGUAGUCACCUGGGAAGCCAGAGAUAAACUGGGGUAGUCAGCCGUAAUGGCGACUAGAGCAUUGUCCAUGCUAAGUUGGUGGAACACCCCGUCAAUCAGCUCCACCUUUAUGUCUGAAUCCUCUUCGGAGGCCGGAUCAAGGGGUCGUCUCGGAUCCUCGGGCUGUGGAGUCAGGCUUUGUAUGCCCUCCACGUCCCGGCGCAGCUCCUGCGUCAAAAUCACAAAGUGAGACACUUGACUUUGGGAAUAUGGAUCGGAUAGAUAAACGUCCGCUUACCCAGCUCCGAGGGUUAUUCAUGGAGAAUCCAUUCAAUGGACUUGUGCGGAGGAAGUCCUCCUUCUCCCCCUUGUACAAGCCGGACAGGAUCUUCACCAGAUCGGCGGCCGAUCCCGGCCCCUUGCGGCCAUGACGGGUGGCGUCAUCCUUCCCGUUGAAAUCCCACAUGGGGUGGCCCCUAUAUUGGAGUGGCUGCACCCCUCGCAUAAUGCAUGUGGCCAUGACUCCAAUCAUGGUCAAUCCGGAGUGGGCCAGUAACCUUAUCCGGCCCAUCAGAUAUUGGACGCUCCCAUCAUCUUCCCGUUGAGGGCUUCGCAGGCGCCAACUCAGGCGUUUCUUUAGGGGAGCGUUGCUGAACUCCGGGAGGCCGAUCCGAACUGGAUCCGGCAGAGGGGCGUCUUCCAUAUAAAACCAUUCCGAAGGCCAGUCUUCGAACGCCUUCUUCGGGGUUCCGGAUAGAUAUCCGGUCUCGGCGAUGCGCCAUAUUUUGGCUUCGCCCACUUGAUAUAUCGACCCCUCGUGAGAACGGGGUACGAGGCAAAACAAUCUCUUCCACGGCACAAAAUGGGGCUCGAUGCCCAAGAAUAGCUCGCAAAGAGCUACAAAGCCCACGAUGUGCAAAAUGGAGGCAGGUGUAAGGUGGUGAAGCUGGAGUCCAUAGAACUCCAGGAGCCCCCGGAGAAACGGAUGUAUGGGAAAUCUGAGUCCCCUUAUUAGAUAAGGGACGAAGCAUACCCGCUCUCCUUUGGAGGGAUUGGGGACGCUCUCCGCCUGCUUUCCACCCUUGUAGGUGGCCAGUCCGGCUCGAACCGGAACCAUGAAGGCUGGGGGAAGAUAUCCCUCUGCUUGGAGCGUCACUAGCUCGCUAUGUGGAACUGAACAUCUCCUCCAAUCUCCUGGCUGAGGGCUGGGAGCGCGAGAGGAGGAUCCGCGUCGACUAUCCAUGAUGGAAUGGAUUUUUGUCAGAGGCGCUUCGAUGAGUACUUGCGGAAGGAGGAUGGUGUGAUUUGGAUCUAGAUCCUCGCCUCUCUUAUAGGCAGCUUAUUCGCGCGGCUAGGGGGUAAAACGCAAAAAUACCCUAGCUUUUCGCAUUCAUACGACACAUGGAAGAUGGCCAUUAUUGGACGUGGAAGCCAAGGAGCGCAACAUUUAUAAGGAAGCCGGACACUAUUCAGCAGGCACAUGGAAUUUGAAGGAGAACCCGCCUUGCAACGCCGAAGACAAUAUGCGCACUAGACUCGUCGUCAUUGAAGCCUGGUUCGGGGGCUACUGAGGGAGUCCCGGAUUAGGGGGUGUCCGGAUAGCCGAACUAUCAUCAUCGGCCGGACUCCAAGACUAUGAAGAUACAAGAUUGAAGAUUUCGUCCCGUGUCCGGAUGGGGCUUUCCUUGGCGUGGAAGGAAAGCUUGGCGAUACGGAUAUGUAGAUCUCCUACCAUUGUAACCGACUCUGUGUAACCCUAGCCCUCUCCGGUGUCUAUAUAAACCGGAGGGUUUUAGUCCGUAGGACACAACAACAAUCAUACCAUAGGCUAGCUUCUAGGGUUUAGCCUCCUUGAUCUCGUGGUAGAUCUACUCUUGUAAUACCCACAUCAUCAAUAUCAAUCAAGCAGGACAUAGGGUUUUACCUCCAUCAAGAGGGCCCGAACCUGGGUAAAACAUCGUGUCCCUUGUCUCUUGUUACCAUCCGCUUAGACGCACAGUUCGGGACCCCCUACCCGAGAUCCACCGGUUUUGACACCGACAACUGCCCUUUCUUGGACAAGCAUCCCACUUAUGAUUAACCCCUAUUGCAAGCAUCCGCAACUACAAAAGAAGUAUUAAGGUUAUAGCAUGAAACAUAUGGAUUCGAAUCAGCCCCUUACGAAGCAACGCAGAAACUAGGGUUUAAGCUUCUGUCACUCUAGCAACCCAUCAUCUACUUAUUACUUCCCAAUGCCUUCCUCUAGGCCCAAAUAAUGGUGAAGUGUCAUGUAGUCGACAUUCACAUAACACCACUAGAGGAGAGACAACAUACAUCUCAUCAAAAUAUCGAACGAAUACCAAAUUGACAUGACUACUUAUAGUAAGACUUCUCCCAUGUCCUCAGGAACAAACGUAACUACUCACAAUCAUGUUCAUGUUCAUAAUCAGAGGGGUAUUAAUAUGCAUAAAGUAUCUGAGCAUAUGAUCUUCCACCAAAUAAACCAACUAGCAUCAACUAUAAGGAGUAAUCAACACUACUAGCAACCCACAGGUACCAAUCUGAGGCUUUGGGACAAAGAUUGGAUACAAGAGAUGAACUAGGGUUUUAGAGGAGAUGGUGCUGGUGAAGAUGUUGAUGAAGAUUGACCCCCUCCCGAUGAGACGAUCGUUGGUGAUGACGAUGGUGAUGAUUUCCCCCUCUCGGAGGUAUGUUUCCCCGGCAGAACAGCUUCGCCGGAGCCCUAGAUUGGUUCCGCCAAGGUUCCGCCUCGUGGCGGCGGAGUUUCGUCUCGAAAGCUUGCUUAUGAUUUUUUUUAGGGUAAAAGACUUCAUAUAGCAGAAGAUGGGCACCGGAGGCCUGCCAGGGGGCCCACAAGGUAGGGGGCGCGCCCAGGGGGGUAGGGCGCGCGACCCACCCUUGUGGCCAGGGUGUGGGGCCCUUCUGGUUGAUUCUUUCUCCAGUAUUUUUUAUAUAUUCCAAAACGUGCCUCCGUGAAGUUUCAGGACUUUUGGAGUUGUGCAGAAUAGGUCUAUAAUAUUUGCUCCUUUUCCAGCCCAGAAUUCCAGCUACCGGCAUUCUCCCUCUUCAUGUAAACCUUGUAAAAUAAGAGAGAAUAGGCAUAAGUAUUGUGACAUAACGUGUAAUAACAGCCCUUAAUGCAAUAAAUAUAAAUAUAAAAGCAUGAUGCAAAAUGGACGUAUCAAGUACGAGCAACAGAUAGAGGUGAUGCUCUGUCACACCGUCAUCCACCUGAGCGGCCCGGUGCACCAUAGGGGACGCUCCUCCCCGUGAAUAUGGAGCAUGUGUCCCCUCCGCGCUCUCCCCGGGCAAGCGCGACGUCCAAAUCGAAUGUCGCGUGAAGGAGUAGCCCCUCUCGCCGCCCCGACGCGUCAAGGAGGAGCGGCUCUCUCCGCCGCCCCGCCGCAUCAAGGAGGAGCGUCGCUCGCCAUGGCCCAUGCCCUAGGCAAUCACCAUGGCAGCUGUUCGUCGUCCCGGAGUGCCUUAACGCCGCAGGAGUACGCCGAAAGGGAGUGGCGCCGACGAGACAGGCGCAACGCAGUGUGUCGGUCGAAGUUCGAGGACUCCGAUGUCCCGCCGCCACACAUUGCGUCAGACAUGGACCUGGCGUACACCUGGGCCCUGGACCGCUCCAUGACGACGGCAGAGACGAGCAAGCAACGGCUCCGCCGCCUUGAUGGGGAGAUGGCCAAGUACAGCGAGGUGUGGUCUCUCAGCGAGAUCGCCGCCGCCAAUGCUGCCUCCACCAAGGCUCGCCGCCCUCCUCCCCCCUCCCCACAUCGUUUUUGGCGGCGACCGUAUUGUGCAGGGUGCAGGAGGAAGUGGAGAGGAUCAUUCGCGAGCAUUAGGCGCCUGCGGGGAAGCCCUCCCGCGACGCCCCCGCUCGAAGCCCAACGCCGAUGACUCCAACAACGGCUCAAGCGACGAUGACGGGGGAGCCGCCUGCUAGGCCGGCAUGGCCUACAAGGUCACCGUUAAGUAUAGGGUAGUGUAGGGUUAGGUUUUUAGUUUACUGGACAAAAUUUGUCCUGUUGUAUGUAAAAAUCAUCCUAGUUUAAAUGAAUAUCAUUCGGUUUGUUUGAGUUUAAAUCAAAUUUGUUCAUUUUCGUUAAUGUUUAUUUGAAAUGUAACCGAACAUAUGCGGGUAGCUUUGAAUGGCCGGCUCCCGCAUCCAUGUCCACGGACUGAUCCCCUUGUCCACGGACGGAUGCGAGAGUAAAUAUGCGGGUCAGCAUUGAAGAUGCUCUUAGCCUUCAUAUUCAUAUGGAGCGCACUUUCACAUGUAUAUAAAGGCUGUCAAUUGCUCUUAGAAUAAUUAGAUUAGUUACCAGGGGCAUUUUUGUUAUAUCUCAGUAUGUAGCUGUACAUCACGAUCGUGAAGUCGUGAAGACCUGGUGCGUUGUUUCGGUCAGUACUUGGAGAUCCCUUGUCGCUUUCCUCGAUGCAUGGAGAAGAUUAUUCCUCAGAAAGUUCCAACCUCAGUAUGCAGCUGUACAUCACGAUCGUGAAGUCGUGAAGACCUGAUGCGUUGUUUCGGUCAGUAUGAAAAGACUGCCCUGACAUGCAUGUCCAAUCCAGUGAACUGGGGCAACCUUUUUUGAGGUCAACUGGGGCAACCUUGACUCAACGCGUCAGUCCGUUGUCGCAACGAAAAUACGUUUUUUCGUUAGAAAAAUACAGAGAAUAUCUAACGACUCUACGUGCGGCGGUGCUUCCGGCUCGCAUGAGACAGCAUCCUCUCUGCGAGUGCUGAACACAGGUGUACUUUGUGGACAGAACUUGUUACGGAGAACCCACGGCAGUGCGAAUCGGUCCAUCCCACCGGUUUUCUCCCGGCGAGCUGCAAUCACGGCGGACAAAACGAGUGGAAUCCUUCGUUCGUAGUCGUAGUACUACAGCGAGAGCUUCUCAGAAUACGUACGUACCGCCUGUCACAUUGCGACACUCCGUGUGUGUGCGUGGCUCCGGGCAUCUUGCAACAGAGUGCCUGAUUCAGAGGGCACGAGGAUUCCAGAUGUCUGUGGCUGGGAAUAUCACCAGGUCAACACACCAAACGUUUGAACCUGACGCUAGGCGGCAAAAGACAUAAAUUUGAUCUCAAGACGAAACUAUUUCACAAACUAAACUAUGUUUAAAAGUAUUUCACCCAGCUGACCCAUAAUGUACAGCGCCUAAUAUCAAGGCGCUACGCUCUACUGUGCAGCGCCUAACACACAGGCGCCACAUUGUGCAGCGCCUAACUGUAAGAAGUUGCACUACACUGUGCAGCGCCUAGCUGUAAGGAGUUGCACAGUAGGGUGCAGCGCCUUACUGUUGGGAGCUGCACAAAAAGAUUGGCGGUGUGAAAUAUUUUUAAAAACAGUUUAGUUUGUGAAAUACUUUCACUUUGAGGUUAAAUUUAUCAAUUCUGCCACGCUAGGCAGUAUCGACUUUUUGACACAGCGGCGCGGCCGUACUACUGCAUCGCCCCGGGCAUCUCGGACGUUGCUGAGUGAGAGACUGAGAGUCAAGUACCUAAUUUUUCUACAUGAACGCGUAAGUGUUAGUAGUGAUUGUGAUGAAUUCCAACUAUUUUGAAGAUCUGUGUAAAUGGCUUCACAAAUUCCGGUUUGGACCAUCCAUGCCCCCGAGAUUUUGUGCGGCAUUGCCUACCUUCUGGAGGAGUUAAAACAUCCCAAGUCUUAAAACUUGCACAAAAUAUGAUGAUUUGGUCCAAAAAUUGGAAACCUUCACCCCGCGGCCCUCAAACUUAUAUUAGAAAUGACAAUUUAGUCCUAAGCCUAUCACAACGCGACAUGUGGCGGCCAAGUGGCCGGACCGGUUGGCUCAUGCAUUUAUGCAAAAAAAAACGUACUGUUUUCCCUAUUCAACCCGCAGGACAGCUCACCUAAAUUAAAUUUGUCUCCUCGCACACAUUUCAUUUCGUUGUCACCCAUGUUCUAUGCUAUCGGGGCCAACAGGAGCUCAGCGGCGAUCACCUGUUGAUGACGUCAGCCACCACGGCAUCGCCGCCGGAGUUAACCGACGGUGUGGAGGCGCCUCCUCCGCUCAUCUCAUCUGCCCGUUCGGCGUCUUCCCUUCGAAGUAUUGUGAGUUGUCUUCCUCACUCUCCUCUGCUCUGCUCCGUUUGUCGCCUGCCGGUUCUGCUGUCGACAACGCCGCUAAUUGGUGUGAUUCGAGCUCGAUUCAAGGUCGUCUAGUGUUGUUGCUUGCUUAGGGUUCUUGCAGAGAUGUAGAGCUAGGGUCUUGCCUGCAUAUCGAGCUGGCCCAUUAGCUUAGGUCGCUUGCUUGCUUCCCUAGCUUCAGCUCAGCUCACUCGAUGACGUACUGGUUGUCUGAUUUUUCUUUUAUUUUUUCAUUUUCUUUCUUUCUUUUACUUUUCGUUUAUUUUGUUUCUUUAGUGGUUUCUUACUAGUUUUCUUGGGUUCUUUCAUGGGUUUUACUGAUUUUUUCCUUUUUUUCUUCUUCUUUCGUUCUUUUUUGGUUUUCACUGGUUUUUUUAUUUUGUGCCUUUCUUUCUUUGUUUUUCCUCAUUGUCCUGUUUCUAUUUUUGGGUUUCUUCAUUUUCGUUUGUUCCUUCUCAUGUUCAUUCUUUCGCAUUGUUAUUUUUCGAUUUUUAUUUCCUUUUUGGUUUUAAACUUUUAAUUGGUUUUCUUCUCUUUCCUGUGCCUUUUGUCAAUUUUCAUGGGUUUCUGUUUUGUUCAACACAUGUUUCUUUUCUGUAUAGAUUCAACAUUUUGGGUAUGCAACGGGCACACUUUUCAUAUACACUUUUAACAUUUUCUCAAUACAUGGUUACGUUUUCUUUGUUUCUUUCAUGGUUUUCCUCGAUUUUCCUUUUCAUACUCAUUCCUUUUUUUAUUUUGGGUUUUGUUUCUUUCAUGACUUUUCACUGGUUUCUUUUGUUUUCUUUGUUUCUUUUUUGGUAUUUAUUUUUCUCCAUUCUUUUGCACUUGUUUUUUCAAUUUUGUUUUUCAUGUUCCUUUUUUACUUGGUUUCCUUUUGUUUCUUUUGUGCGUUUCAUUGAUUUUUUUACAUUCUUUGUUUAUAUUGGUUUUUAUUCUACAAUUUUCGUAUACAUCAAGAACAUUUCUCUAAUACAUGUUUAAUAUUUUUUUAAACAAGUUAAACAUUUUUUCAAUAAAAAGGUAAAUUUUUUCUUUUUACAUUUUUAAAAUUUAAGAUUGCCAUUUUUUAAUACAUGGUCAACAUUUUUUCUACAGACAUUAACAUUUUCAAAUGCUUGAUUAAAAUAUUUCAAAUAAAAGAUUAAUAUUUUUCCUAUACAUAGUCAACAUUUUUUCUAUACACAUUUAAAAAAUUUGCAUUGGUUUUCUUUGGGUUAUAUUUUUUUGGUUUUUAUUUGUUUUCUUCGUAUUCCUGUGCUUUUUGUCGAUUUUUAUCGGUUUCUUUUUUUGUUCAAUGCAUGGUUCUUACUGUACACAUUCAACAUUUUUCGUAUACAUCAUGAACAUUUUUAUAUGCAAGUUUAACAUUUUCCCUAUACAUCGUUAAAAUAUUUGAAAACUUAUAUUUUUAUGUCUAUUCUUUUAUUAUAUAUGCUAAUGUCUAUUUUUUUCUCAUAAACCUUGUACAUUUUUCGCAUUCAUAUGAGACAUUAUUUUUAUACAUGUUCAACAUUUUAAAAAUACCUGAUUAACAUUUUUAAAUGCAUGUCUUGAUGUUUACAAUUUCUAUAUACAUCAAGUACAUUUUUAUACAUGUUUAUUUUUUUUCUAAAACAAUGAUUAACUCUUUUUAAAUACAUGUUUCGAUGUCUUCUUUGUGCCAUACGCAUUUGUACAUUUUUCAUAUACAACUGAGACAUUUAUCUUGUAUAAGUUUCACAUUUUCCAUAUUUAUGAUUAACUUUUGUUCAAAACACAUGUUUUUGAACAGUGUUGCUUGGAUAUUAGUUAAACAUGUUUUUCAAAUAAGUGUUGAAACAUUUUUUUCAAAAGCUAUCAACAUUUUUUUUCAAAUUUCAGUAAAAAAAUUAAAAUAUGUGUACAUUUAUAUUUUUAGAAAAUGUAAACAAGUAAAAAAAAAAGAGAAAAGAAAAAACGAAAUCAAGUGAACGAAUGAAAAACGAUCGAGCGAACAGGCCACUGUGCCGGCCUAUUACCAUGUCGUUCCAGGCAAGUGGACGGUUUGUCUUGCUAGAAGCGAGAUAUAGCCGCGCCUGUGUCUUCCCCACAAAAAGAAAAAAAAGCUCAUGUAGAUGUCCAGUAGCCUGAAUUGGGUUAUGUACGAUACCAUACUCUUUGACUGAUCAUAGCUUUUUUGUUGUUGUUGCGGAAGACUGAUCAUAAAAUACAAAGAUUUUACCCGCAAAAAAAUAUAAAGUAAAAUAAAAUACAAAGAUUUAGAGGAUGCGUCAAGCAUUUACCACGCUAAAUCACAUUUGAAAAGCGAACUAUGCAAAAUUGACGAAAUAAUAACUCACAUACAUCUGCAUUUUUCAGAAGAUACAUAACCAUAUAAACACCGAAAUUUGCACAUGUAUAAUUGGCAAAAUGAACAAUAACAUAAAGGUAGCUAUAACAAUUGUCUGUUUAUUCUAUUUUUGAUGCUACUGAUUUCUUGCUUUCGAAUACAAAAUAAACAAAGCAAAGCGAUGGUAUGAUUACUUAACGACCUGACUGCAGAUCAUUAACAGCUUUCUUCUCGAUGCUGAAAUAUUCGGCACUGGUUAUUGCCGAGCUGGCCAUCGAUGAGGGCUCUCCAAGUAGGCAUUCCAUCUCUUCAGGGUUCCGCUGUACCCAUGGAUGUUGCAUCACCUUCCUCAGACUAUCAAGCUUCUCCGCAACUUCCUUCAUCGAUGGCCUAUUGUCACCACACAUCUCUAAGCAUCGCAUCGCUAGCUCCGCGAUCUCUUCAAUAAUCUCUGUGUUAUCCCCAUCCUUGAUCUCAACAUCCAAGAUUUGAUCGAGCUUAUUCUCCUUCAUGGCAUACAUAAACAUCAUUGAUAGGCUCUUCUCGUGGGCAGGGACAUCCGGAUUAAAAUUAAAUGGCAAUUUGGCCGUGAGUAGCUCCAACAAAACAACCCCAAAGCUGUACACGUCGCUCUUGUCCGUUAGCAGGUUGGUUUGCAUGUACUCCGGGUCAAGGUACCCGCAUGUUCCAUGUACCAGUGUGAUGAAUUGUGACUUAUCAGUUGGUGCCAGGAUGGAGGCGCCAAAGUCAGAAACUUUAGCUUGGUGGUCCAUGUCAAGAAGAAUGUUGGGGGACUUGAUAUCGCCGUGGAGGAUCGGCGUCGAAGCCGAUGAGUGGAGGUAGGCAAUCGCGUCGGCGGACUCGUGGGCGAUCCCCAAGCGAGUAGCCAGGGAGAUACGCAUGCCAUGGUUACCGUGUAUAAGCUGGAAGAGGGUGCCGUUUGGGACGAACUCGUAGACCAGCAUGGGGACUUCCACUUCGAGGCAACACCCGAGGAGCUUCACAAUGUUUCUAUGGUUGACCUGGGACAAGAUUAGCAUCUCUUUACCAAAUUCUUUUUUUUGUUGCUCGUCAAUGGUCUUGCAUCUCUUCACCGCUACUUCCACGUCGCCCUUAAGAAUCCCCUUGUACACGGUUCCAUAGCCCCCUUGACCAAGUACUUGUUGCUCACUAAACCUGUUCGUGGCUUGCUGCAGUUCUUCUUCCGUGAAGAUUUUGAAUGCAAUACCUUGCUUUGACCUCAUCUCAUCAAAUAAUAUUAGACCACCGUGCUGCCGAAAGUAGUCUCGUUUCAUUUUCUGUAGCUUUCUUCUCUCUUGGAUCAUGCAUGCACAUGCUAAAGCAACCACAAAGACGACUACUCCAACACUUGCACCUGCAUGAUUAUCCAUCCACAUAGAGGUAUGAGACAUUCAUUCAAUAUUAAUGUAAUUAGUUGACCAGUGGAAACUUAAAAGUAAUCUGCUUUUUUUCUUCUUUCGAAAAGGAGGUUGAGCCCCCGGCCUCUGCACCAUUAAUUCAUUAUGAUGCACACAACCAUAAAAGUAAUUUGUUUGAAGAGAGAAAAAUACACUGCUGCCAAGAUAAAAUUUGUCAAACACUACUUGUUGUUAAACAACAUAAUACUGGUCUAUCGUGUUGGAGUUAUUCUGUUCUAUAUAUUACUACUCCCUCAUUAUGGGACGGAGGGAGUACUAUAUAUAGCAUACAAAGUAAGUUCUUAAGCUUCCGUACCGCUGUGUGUUUUUAUAGUGCUCACCAAAGAGUAGAACUCACCUACAACAGGCAUCACCGGAAAACGGGAAGGCUUUUCAACGCAAACAUCAUUCACCAUGGAACUUCCUGGGUUGCAUGAGCAGGUGUGAUUCCCCGGCGUGUUCUCACAGAUCCCAUUGCCACAAGCAUUAGCAUUUUCAAGGCACUCAUUAAUAUCUGAUACAGAACAAUUAGUUUCAAUUCAAGUUGCCAAGUUGUGCAUACACAGGUGACUCAUGAACUAAUUAAGGUAGUACUACGAGAGAGCUCAUGUCAAAUGUACAAGGCAGCAAAAGGGAAGUCACCUUGGCAUCCGUCCGUGAUGUAUGGGUUACCUCUGUACCCAUCGGAGCAAUUGCAGAGGUAACCUGGCUCGAUGGUGGUGGCAUUCACACACACACUGUUGCUGCUAACACAUGCGUAAGAACUCGUGUUCUUAGCUUCCUCGCAAGCGUGAGCAUCUAUUUUCCAGUCCAGGACAAUUGGAACUACCCCAUUGGAUGUCUCAUCGAACACUGAAGAAUUUGAUCUCACAUAGCUGGUGUUGAAACUGAAAGCUGCCUUUUCCAUCAAUGUCACGUAGCUGCAAGGGUUGUCUGGCCAGGUAGAAGUGUUGUAGUUUUCGUUGAAAUAGCCAUGAUAAUACUGUAUGCCUUUUGGGACAUCGGCUUGGCAGCAGCCAGCACCAGAGCAUUUGCCGUUCUCGAGGGUGACGUUCUUGCAUGUUGAACGGCAACCUAUUACAUACUGCACGGAAACCCUAUAUGAGAUGUAUUUAAACAAACCAACAAUUAAAUCAAGGAAUUACGUGUUUUUUAUUGUAAGGAAAACAUCUAUUUGUAGCAUCUAAAAAAACUAUUUGAAGAAAAAAAGCCUUGUUAAUCUAUUCAUUGUUGAUUAAUGAAAAUACACGUCUUAUAUUAAAUUAGGGAGGAAAUAACUGUGUAUAUGUUCCUAGCAAAAAUGCUACACGUACGGAUUUGUUUUACAAGGAUUUACAGACCAACCCUCCUCCCUCACUAAUCUCCUCCCCCCUGAGUUUCAGGAUGGGGCCCGCCUCAUCUAAUUACCAAUUAAACCAGCCCACCUCAGCAUUGCCUGUAAAAGUCCUGUAAAGCCUCCGUACGUCUAGCAUUGCCGUGUUCCUAGCUGGCCUCGUGAAGAAUCCUUCAACCACCUGCUUGACAAGCCAAGUUCGUACGUGUACGUGCGCGUGACCACCUCCGACGUCUUGAUCGGCCAGUGGACAAUAAUCCUAGACGCACCAUCUCACGGGCAUCUUAAUACUAAUUAGUCUCCGCCCCUGAUUUUUAUGGGGAUGAGCCCGCCUCGCUCCUAGUCUCCAAUCAAAAACUGCCACCUAUUAAUAAUCCGUUGAUUCCGUAAUAACGACUCCGAGCGUGUAGCAUUACUCGGUGAGUGGAUCUUAUGCUUCCGGCGGCGCGCUACAGCCGGGGGUCGUGGUGUCCCCCGUCCAUGCAGUGUGCCGAGAUCACCAGGCCGGGAGCAGCAGCCUGGCCAGGAGGCGCCGCUCUCCGGUGGUGGCCAUUGCGCCGGAAUAGGUCAGUGUCGGCGCGGGCUGCGGCAGGAGGGGAUUGGGGGCUUGGUGUUGGCCGGAGAGCUACUGUAUGCGGGCGCCAGUUCGGUUCAACUUGGAUCUGGUUCGGUUCUUUUUUUUUAAAUGAAAAGGGGUUUCUCCCUCGCUCCAUUUUUAUAAAACGAAGCAUAGCAGUUCACGGCAUUCAGGCCUAUCAUGAGUAGGCCAAAUCAGAACGCGUAGGCACCCAAAACGGACGUCUGAAACUUCGGAGACAUAGUCUGGUUUGGUUCCCUACUGUUAAAAGGAAAAUCAGACGACAAAGUACAAAAAAAGACCGUGGAUGUGGCGAAUGUUUAAAAAAAGGACCAGGGACAUGGCACGUCCAAUAUCAAAAUCGGGGAAAACACUAAGUGGUGUAAAAUGUAGCACAAAUUUGUUUAAAUGGGGUAUAAAUUGUAUACGGGAAAAAAAGAGGUAUGAAUUAAGAAUUUUCGCUAAAAAAUGUGAUAAUAUAUGUCAUAAACAGAAAAUUUAAGGUAAAAAAAAUGAAAUUAACUCUAAUAAAAAUGCCGAAAUUACUUACAGUAGAGCUUGUCAUAUAAGCGAGAGUAUUGCACCCGAUGACGAUAAUCUUGUUAUCCACCUCGGAUAUCCAGAAAGGUGAAUCGGUGAGGUUCAGCCCAAAGUUAAUGUAGUUCAUACUUCUAGCGGCUGGGUCAUAGCACUGCGACGAGAUCGCCCUGGUAUUCAUUCGGACCUUGGCCUCAGGCAAAAUGAUCUUAGUCACCUCGAAAUUCCCCUUAAGAGGCUUCUUGACGCCAUCCACAGACGUGUUCGUGCAGCUGAGGUUAAAGCCGCUGUGCAAAGCGCACUUGUCGCCGAUGCCGAACGGGAACGGGAUGUCGACGUCCCCGCACUUGGCCGGGCAGCCGGGACGCUGGCCUGCCGGUACAUCCGCCAUGGCCAGGACCCAAAUCGCCGAAAGGCAGAGAAGAACAUGGCAAGAAAGAAGAAACCGAGAACACCCCAGCUUCACCAUCGCAGGUUAACCGGUAGGUGUGGAUGUGUG
This 24465-nucleotide long non-coding RNA is filed under the name Triticum aestivum (bread wheat). Its description in RNAcentral is "long non-coding RNA (TAES_LNC007439)". Lineage: Eukaryota; Viridiplantae; Streptophyta; Magnoliopsida; Poales; Poaceae. The record is from RNAcentral.